GUAAGGAAUAUUGGACAAUGGGGGAAACCCUGAUCCAGCCAUGCCGCGUGAGUGAAGAAGGCCUUCGGGUUGUAAAACUCUUUCAGAUGUGAAGAUGAUGACGGUAACAUCAGAAGAAGCUCCGGCUAACUUCGUGCCAGCAGCCGCGGUAAUACGAAGGGAGCGAGCGUUGUUCGGAAUCACUGGGCGUAAAGAGUGCGUAGGCGGUUAUACAAGUCAGGAGUGAAAUCCCAGAGCUUAACUUUGGAAUUGCUUUUGAAACUGUAUAGCUAGAGUCCCGGAGGGGUUAAUGGAAUUCCGAGUGUAGAGGUGAAAUUCGCAGAUAUUCGGAGGAACACCAGUGGCGAAGGCGAUUAACUGGACGGGCACUGACGCUGAGGCACGAAAGCGUGGGGAUCAAACAGGAUUAGAAACCCCGGUAGUCC
Molecule: ribosomal RNA, 425 nt
Filed under: uncultured bacterium
Lineage: Bacteria
Description: partial 16S ribosomal RNA
Rfam family: Bacterial small subunit ribosomal RNA
Source: RNAcentral